GAGGCCUUUUGGCNGAGGGACGCCUGCCUGGGCGUCACG
Molecule: ribosomal RNA, 39 nt
Filed under: Chascolytrum aff. juergensii ICN 136.601
Lineage: Eukaryota; Viridiplantae; Streptophyta; Magnoliopsida; Poales; Poaceae
Description: partial 5.8S ribosomal RNA
Source: RNAcentral